This 260-nucleotide ribosomal RNA is filed under the name Agreia sp. ISO911_OTU2536. RNAcentral describes it as "partial 16S ribosomal RNA". It matches the Rfam family "Bacterial small subunit ribosomal RNA", at positions 29 to 289 of the family's 1533-position model. The record is from RNAcentral. Lineage: Bacteria; Bacillati; Actinomycetota; Actinomycetes; Micrococcales; Microbacteriaceae.
AUGAACGCUGGCGGCGUGCUUAACACAUGCAAGUCGAACGAUGAAGCCUAGCUUGCUGGGUGGAUUAGUGGCGAACGGGUGAGUAACACGUGAGUAACCUGCCCUUGACUCUGGGAUAAGCACUGGAAACGGUGUCUAAUACCGGAUACGAACUUCGACGGCAUCGUCAGGAGUUGGAAAGAAUUUUGGUCAAGGAUGGACUCGCGGCCUAUCAGCUUGUUGGUGAGGUAAUGGCUCACCAAGGCGACGACGGGUAGCCG